UACGUAGGGUGCGAGCGUUAAUCGGAAUUACUGGGCGUAAAGCGUGCGCAGGCGGUUGUGUAAGACAGUUGUGAAAGCCCCGGGCUCAACCUGGGAAUUGCAUCUGUGACUGCACAGCUAGAGUACGGUAGAGGGGGAUGGAAUUCCGCGUGUAGCAGUGAAAUGCGUAGAUAUGCGGAGGAACACCAAUGGCGAAGGCAAUCCCCUGGACCUGUACUGACGCUCAUGCACGAAAGCGUGGGGAGCAAACAGG
RNAcentral lists this ribosomal RNA (253 nucleotides) under uncultured bacterium. Its description in RNAcentral is "partial 16S ribosomal RNA". It matches the Rfam family "Bacterial small subunit ribosomal RNA", at positions 524 to 776 of the family's 1533-position model. The record is from RNAcentral.